Transfer RNA from Roseburia sp. CAG:303, 71 nucleotides. It matches the Rfam family "tRNA". From Rfam's summary of the family: Transfer RNA (tRNA) molecules are approximately 80 nucleotides in length. Their secondary structure includes four short double-helical elements and three loops (D, anti-codon, and T loops). Further hydrogen bonds mediate the characteristic L-shaped molecular structure. tRNAs have two regions of fundamental functional importance: the anti-codon, which is responsible for specific mRNA codon recognition, and the 3' end, to which the tRNAs corresponding amino acid is attached (by aminoacyl-tRNA synthetases). tRNAs cope with the degeneracy of the genetic code in two manners: having more than one tRNA (with a specific anti-codon) for a particular amino acid; and 'wobble' base-pairing, i.e. permitting non-standard base-pairing at the 3rd anti-codon position. The record is from Rfam. Lineage: Bacteria; Bacillati; Bacillota; Clostridia; Lachnospirales; Lachnospiraceae.
GCUUCCAUAGUUCAAAGGCAAAACAGGUCACUCGUAAUGUCCAGUUAUCGGUUCGAUUCCGAUUGGAAGCU